Molecule: ribosomal RNA, 544 nt
Filed under: Isca sp. IS1_UN11_1
Lineage: Eukaryota; Metazoa; Arthropoda; Insecta; Ephemeroptera; Leptophlebiidae
Description: partial large subunit ribosomal RNA
Rfam family: Bacterial large subunit ribosomal RNA
Source: RNAcentral
GCCUGUUUAACAAAAACAUCUCCUAAUGAUUUUUAUGUUAGGUAUGGUCUGCCCAGUGAAAUUAAAUGGCCGCAGUAUAUUGACUGUGCAAAGGUAGCAUAAUAAUUAGUCUUUUAAUUGAAGGCUGGUAUGAAUGGCUGGAUGAGGUAAAGUCUGUCUCUUUUGUGUGAAAUAUAAUUUAAGAUUUGAGUUAAAACGCUCAAAUAAAUUUAAGGGACGAGAAGACCCUAUAGAUCUUUAUAAAAUUAGGUAAAAAGGUUAGAUGAGGUAAGGUUUUAUUAAUAUUUUAUUAUAUUGGGGCGAUAAGGAAAUAAAAGAACUUUCUUAGUGUUUAUACUGAUUAGUAGAAUUAUGACCCUUUAAUAAGGGGCAAAAGACUAAGUUACCUUAGGGAUAACAGCAUAAUCUUUUUUGAGAGUUCUAAUCGACAAAAAGGGUUGUGACCUCGAUGUUGGACUAAGGAGAAAUUUAGGCGUAGCAGUUUAAAUUUAAGGUCUGUUCGACCUGUUGUACCUUACAUGAUCUGAGUUAAAACCGGAGCUCC